CCCUCUGCUACACAGUGCAGUGGUCAUGUUUCUCUUUGGGAUUUCAUAGAGCAAUGUGAAACAGGGCAUGCCAGGUCAGGGCUGUUGUAAACACUGCAUGCAGCUGCUGUGCCCAGGUACCUUAGCCAGGGCUGCUCUCUGUGGAUCAGGAACAGGAGAGAAACAGGGCAAAAAGCUGAUGAACUGUUUUAAAUGAAUUGGAGACAUCCCUUGGUAGGCAGGUACUCCACACAACACUUCUCUAUUUAUUUUAAAUGCCAUCACAAGAUGUUGUUGAUCUCUGAGGAAUAACAGUGGGUGAUUGGGACCCACAUACCUGGAUUCCAGUUUAUGCUGGGAUUUCUAGUCUUCUUUGAGGAACCUUAAUCCCUUUUCCCAUUACAGCCAAAAGCUCAAGAGAAGUCCUGCCAUUAAGGUUCUCAGAAAAAAAAAAAAAAAUAUAAGACAACUGUGAGUUUUAUGAUGGCAUCUUUGAGGUUUCUGAGCUGAGAGAACUUCAACAGCCUGACACUCCUGUAAACGUGCUCCUCAUCCUUGCACAAGGAAAUGGUCCAAAUGUGGGACAGCUUCUGCCUGCUGAUAUACCUUGGGAAGAAACCCAGUUCAAAAAUGUCUUCCUCCCCUAUCAGCAUCGCACUGAAAAGCAACAAAGCAUGAGAUAAACCCUCAAACACAAAAAGACAACUUUGAAAAGCUUUGAAACCCCGUUCCCAUAGCGUUUGAUCAGCUGUUGAACCAGGAGAUGAUCACACCACAGAUUAAGCAGAGGGCCAUUGUGACCUUCAUUUUCACAGUGAGGCACCAGCAGCUGUUCAGCACCAGUGCUGUAAGGAUGGCACAUGGGAAAAAUCGAGUGCUCGGUGCAGCUCUGGUUCAGGCUCCACUCAGUGCUCUGCUGACCUGGCAGGAGUGUGCAGGGCUUGGACAAACUGCUCCACCACCCCCAAGCUGUUUGCCUCUGUCUGUGCCUCUGGCUUGGAAUAAAGUAAAAAGAUGUCACAGUGCAUUUAUGGGGUCAAGACAGUCCUGGAAGCAACACAAUUUGGGUAUCUACUGCAUAUGAGGCACACCAGGAUUUCAUCCACUUCCUUUGGUGUCCUUUUCCAUGAGGGCACAUUGAUGUUUGUCCAGAACAGGAAGGGUUGUCUAUUUUUGGAAUAAAGAG
This 1165-nucleotide long non-coding RNA is filed under the name Cyanistes caeruleus (blue tit). Its description in RNAcentral is "lncRNA (ENSCCEG00000008176.1)". Lineage: Eukaryota; Metazoa; Chordata; Aves; Passeriformes; Paridae. The record is from RNAcentral.